UCAGUCGACUCCGUACGGGAGGCAGCAGUGGGGAAUAUUGCACAAUGGGGGAAACCCUGAUGCAGCCAUGCCGCGUGUGUGAAGAAGGACCUUCGGGUGUAAAGCACUUUCAGUAGGGAGAAGGUAGUGUAGUUAACACCUGCAUUAUUUGACGUUACCUACAGAAGAAGACACCGGCUAACUCCGUGCCAGCAGCCGCGGUAAUACGGAGGGUGCGAGCGUUAAUCGGAAUUACUGGGCGUAAAGACGCAUGCAGGCGGCCGUGUUAAGUCAGAUGUGAAAGACCCGGGGCGUUAACCUACCGGUAAGUUAGCAUUUAGUAAACUAGGCGAGGCUAGAGUCUUGUAGAGGGGGGUAGGAAUUUCAGGUGUAGCGGUGAAAUGCGUAGAGAUCUGAAGGAAUACCAGUGGCGAAGGCGGCCCCCUGGACAAAGACUGACGCUCAGAUGCGAAAGCGUGGGGAGCAAACAGGAUUAGAUACCCUGGUAG
Molecule: ribosomal RNA, 488 nt
Filed under: uncultured bacterium
Lineage: Bacteria
Description: bacterial SSU rRNA
Rfam family: Bacterial small subunit ribosomal RNA
Source: RNAcentral